Molecule: ribosomal RNA, 120 nt
Filed under: Carassius auratus (goldfish)
Lineage: Eukaryota; Metazoa; Chordata; Actinopteri; Cypriniformes; Cyprinidae
Source: RNAcentral
GCUUACGGCCAUACCAACCUGGCUAUGCCCGAUCUCGUCUGAUCUCGGAAGCUAAAGCAGGUUUGGGCCUGGUUAGUACUUGAAUGGGAGACCGCCUGGGAAUACCAGGUGCUGUAAGCU